UGGGGAAUAUUGCACAAUGGGCGCAAGCCUGAUGCAGCCAUGCCGCGUGUGUGAAGAAGGCCUUCGGGUUGUAAAGCACUUUCAGCGGGGAGGAAGGCGUUAAGGUUAAUAACCUUGGCGAUUGACGUUACCCGCAGAAGAAGCACCGGCUAACUCCGUGCCAGCAGCCGCGGUAAUACGGAGGGUGCAAGCGUUAAUCGGAAUUACUGGGCGUAAAGCGCACGCAGGCGGUCUGUCAAGUCGGAUGUGAAAUCCCCGGGCUCAACCUGGGAACUGCAUUCGAAACUGGCAGGCUAGAGUCUUGUAGAGGGGGGUAGAAUUCCAGGUGUAGCGGUGAACUGCGUAGAGAUCUGGAGGAAUACCGGUGGCGAAGGCGGCCCCCUGGACAAAGACUGACGCUCAGGUGCGAAAGCGUGGGGAGCAAACAGG
Molecule: ribosomal RNA, 429 nt
Filed under: Chloroflexota bacterium
Lineage: Bacteria; Bacillati; Chloroflexota
Description: Chloroflexi bacterium partial 16S ribosomal RNA
Rfam family: Bacterial small subunit ribosomal RNA
Source: RNAcentral